Molecule: ribosomal RNA, 306 nt
Filed under: Triticum aestivum (bread wheat)
Lineage: Eukaryota; Viridiplantae; Streptophyta; Magnoliopsida; Poales; Poaceae
Description: partial small subunit ribosomal RNA
Source: RNAcentral
AUGAAUGACUCUAACUGCCCUGUCAUGAGUUGGAAUGUCCGAGGCCUAAACACACCGGCGCGCCGUGUAGUUAUUUGCGGCACUGCCAACACACACAAGCUUGCAAUCCUAUGCCUUCAGGAGACGAAGAUAGAUUGCUGGUCGGCGGCCCUAGCUAGAGAGGUAGGAGGUGCAAGGCUUGACGAUUGUGUCAUCCUCCAAGCGAUGAGGAUGCAUGGAGGGAUCGCAAUCUUCUGGAACUCAGCUCUUGUCUCCGUCCAAUCUCAAGCUAUAGGUCAAUUCUCAAUCACCGCCAGAGUAACGCUU